RNAcentral lists this ribosomal RNA (253 nucleotides) under uncultured bacterium. RNAcentral's name for it is "partial 16S ribosomal RNA". It matches the Rfam family "Bacterial small subunit ribosomal RNA", at positions 524 to 776 of the family's 1533-position model. The record is from RNAcentral.
CACGUAGGGUGCGAGCGUUGUCCGGAAUUAUUGGGCGUAAAGAGCUCGUAGGCGGUGUGUCGCGUCGGCUGUGAAAACUCGGGGCUUAACCCCGGGCCUGCAGUGGGUACGGGCAGACUAGAGUGCGGUAGGGGAGACUGGAAUUCCUGGUGUAGCGGUGAAAUGCGCAGAUAUCAGGAGGAACACCGGUGGCGAAGGCGGGUCUCUGGGCCGUAACUGACGCUGAGGAGCGAAAGCGUGGGGAGCGAACAGG